RNAcentral lists this ribosomal RNA (468 nucleotides) under uncultured bacterium. Its description in RNAcentral is "partial 16S ribosomal RNA". It matches the Rfam family "Bacterial small subunit ribosomal RNA", at positions 28 to 507 of the family's 1533-position model. The record is from RNAcentral.
GAUGAACGCUGGCGGCGUGCUUAACACAUGCAAGUCGAACGGUAAGGCCCUGCUUGUUGGGUGUGCUCGAGUGGCGAGCGGGAGUGUAACACGUGUGUAACCUGCUCUAGACUGGGGUAUGACUUCAGGAAACGGGGUCUAAUACGAGAGAAGAGCUCCUCCUGCGGGGGGGGGGUGGGAAAGUUUCCGCGGUUGGGGAUGGACGCGCGGCUUAUCAGCUUGUUGGUGGGGUAGUGGCUUACCAAGGCUUCGACGGGUAGCCGGCCUGAGAGGGUGACCGGCCACAUUGGGACUGAGAUACGGCCCAGACUCCUACGGGAGGCAGCAGUGGGGAAUAUUGCACAAUGGGCGCAAGCCUGAUGCAGCGACGCCGCGUGCGGGAUGACGGCCUUCGGGUUGUAAACCGCUUUCGGUUGUGACGAAGCGAAAGUGACGGUACCGGGAGAAGAAGCACCGGCUAACUACGUG